AGAAAGAGUCCGAACGACAGAUUUCUAUUGUACAGUACGGCGCGAAACGGUACCGAUCCGGCGUGCCGACUGGAUUAGGAAGAAUAGGUAGGUAGGUAUACGGACUGUGACUGUAGAAUGCAAGCAUCUAUUCCCAGAUCGUGAGUGCUACACAACGUUUCUACCGUAUUCGCCAACCGACCGAACUGGGUACCUUAUUCGACAAAGGAAUCGAUCGUAUCGGGGAGGAAAU
RNAcentral lists this microRNA precursor (232 nucleotides) under Phaeodactylum tricornutum. Its description in RNAcentral is "miR5478 stem-loop (pti-MIR5478)". Lineage: Eukaryota; Bacillariophyta; Bacillariophyceae; Surirellales; Neidiaceae. The record is from miRBase by way of RNAcentral.